This 254-nucleotide ribosomal RNA is filed under the name uncultured bacterium. Its description in RNAcentral is "partial 16S ribosomal RNA". It matches the Rfam family "Bacterial small subunit ribosomal RNA", at positions 524 to 777 of the family's 1533-position model. The record is from RNAcentral.
UACGUAGGGGGCAAGCGUUGUCCGGAUUUAUUGGGCGUAAAGAGCGUGUAGGCGGCCAAGCAGGUCCGCUGUGAAAACUCGAGGCUCAACCUCGAGACGUCGGUGGAAACCGUUUGGCUAGAGUCCGGAAGAGGAGAGUGGAAUUCCCGGUGUAGCGGUGAAAUGCGCAGAUAUCGGGAAGAACACCCGUGGCGAAGGCGACUACCUGGCCUGUUCUUGACGCUGAGGCGCGAAAGCUAGGGGAGCAAACGGGG